Molecule: ribosomal RNA, 484 nt
Filed under: uncultured bacterium
Lineage: Bacteria
Description: partial 16S ribosomal RNA
Rfam family: Bacterial small subunit ribosomal RNA
Source: RNAcentral
AUUGAACGCUGGCGGAAUGCUUUACACAUGCAAGUCGAGCGGCAGCACGGGGGUAACCCUGGUGGCGAGCGGCGAACGGGUGAGUAAUACAUCGGAACAUGCCCAGUCGUGGGGGAUAACACUUCGAAAGAAGUGCUAAUACCGCAUACGUCCUGAGGGAGAAAGCGGGGGAUCGCAAGACCUCGCGCGAUUGGAGUGGCCGAUGUCAGAUUAGCUAGUUGGUGGGGUAAAGGCCUACCAAGGCAACGAUCUGUAGCUGGUCUGAGAGGAUGAUCAGCCACACUGGGACUGAGACACGGCCCAGACUCCUACGGGAGGCAGCAGUGGGGAAUUUUGGACAAUGGGGGCAACCCUGAUCCAGCCAUUCCGCGUGAGUGAAGAAGGCCUUCGGGUUGUAAAGCCCUUUCGGCAGGAACGAAACGGUGAGCUCUAACAUAGCUUGCUAAUGACGGUACCUGAAGAAGAAGCACCGGCUAACUACGUG